AUGGACGUGUUGUCGCACCUCAGAGAACAUCAGCUCCGGUCCAUGUGCAUGACGGCCAGGUAUGAGUGCUACGAGGCCAGCCGUGUGCUCUUCUACGCUGACAGCAUCUCCACCUGCUGGUUCGUCCUUCUGUCGGGAUCAGUGCUGGUGAAGGAGCACAUGUAUCUGGCCCGGUGCUGUUUUGGGACACAGCGUGGAGGAAGACGAGGCUGUGAAUGCAUCACUCUAGAGCCGUCAGAGAUGAUUGUGGUGAGUGGAGCAACACAAAGACACACACACACACACACACACACACAUCCUCCAAUAGCAGACGAAGAUGAAGCUCAGGCUGACUGGACACAGGAUGAAGCACACACACACACACACACACACACACAUGCUUCCAAGACCAUUCAUCAGUAGGUAGUGUGUACUAAAGUGAGCACUAGUAAGGGCACUGAUGAGCUUGGUUCACUACACUGAGUGUGACAUGAGAGCGUCCUCAUCACAACUGUCCAUCAUCAACACUGGAGUUCAUAAACGAGCAACAUUGAAACCAUUAAACAGUUUUACCUGUUUGCUGGAUUGUCUCUAACCUCACCUGUCUAGCUCUGUUUGUUCAUGUGUAAAUAUUCAUGUGUUUUGCAACAUGUAAUGAAUUUGUGCUUUGCUGUGACUUACACUGGCCACAUGAAGCCAUCAGAGUGGACACAGAGGGGUGAACUGUGGCGCAUCUUAGUGCACAAUACAGUAUAUUAUUAUCUGUUAAUGUGACUGAAAACCAAAUAUAAGAUAUAAGCAAAACUCUAUAUUUGAAUUCUAAAGGCGAUCCUUAAUGUUACAGGAAAAGUAGAGCACUGUCUGCUAUUCCCACAAGAGGGCGCAACCGAGCAAAAUAAGCAGGCAAAAACAGAUUAAUGCAUCACAUCUAUUAAAAUGAAAUGACGCUCACUUUUUAAAGCGCAUAAACUUACAAACAACUGUUCUUAAUAAAACACAAUUUACUUAAUGUGAAUGAAAGGGAAAUUAGGACUAAAGUAAACUGAAGCUAUCGAUUUUAUUUAUUAUUUAUUUUAUUUUGGCUAGAAUAAAAACAGUUGUUCAUUGAUUUAAAGCCAUUUUAGGCUCAAUAUUAUUGGCCCUUUCAGCAAUAUUAGUGUUGGAUUUUCUCCAGAACAAACCACUGUUAUACAAUGACUUGCCUAAUUACCCUAACUUUACCCUAAUUACCCUAGUAAAGCCUUUACAUGUCACUUUAAGCUGAACACUAGUGUCUUGAGGAAUAUCUAGUCUAAUAUUAUGUGCUGUCAUCAUGGCAGAGAGACAAUAAAUCAGUUAUUAGAGAUGAGUUAUUAACACUAUUAUGAUUAGAAAUGUGCUGAAGAAAUCUGCUCUACGUUAAACAGAAAUUGGGAAAAUAAAUAUUCAGGAUGGAUAAUCAUUCUGUCUUCAACUGUGUGUACAAUAUAGAGUUUCAGUGAUACUCUUCAGUCGAGUCAUCAUCCUCUUCUCUGUUCCUCUGGGUUCUGCAAACUCUUAAGUGGCAUUUUCCAUGAACACACACUUUUAUCUGAAGUGACCUGCUAAUGAGGAACUCCUUAAAGCCGCAUGUGAUGCUGUGUAGCCCGAACAGGCCAUUUUAGUACAGUAGAGUUUCUGCAGACCUGUGAACAGCUCUCUGUAUAACCCUGCUGCUGUCCACUAGACUUUUUCAUUAGUGAUGCACCAAUCCUGAUUUUCCAUGGCGGAUUUUGAUAUUUCUAUUAGCAAAUUGGAUGAUUUGAUACAUAUUUUGGUCACACUUUACAAUAAGGUUCAUUAGUUAAUGUUAAUUAAUGCCUUUACUAACAUGAACAAACAAUGAACAGUACAUUUACUACAGUAUUUGUUCAUGUUAGUUAACAUUAGUUAAUGAAAAUACAGUAGUUCAUUGUUACUUCAUGUUAACUCAUGGUGCAUUAACUAAUGUUAACAAGCAUGGACUUGGAUGUUAAUAAUGCUUUAGUAAAUGUUCAGUUAUGAUUAAUAAAUGCUGUACAUGUGUUGUUCAUGAUUAGUUCAUGUUAGUAAAUGCAUUAAUAAUGAACUUUAUUGUAAAGUGUUUCCCAUAUUUUCUAUGUUUUAGCAAAAUCAGUGAUUCGAUAGCAAUUUUUGUUUUUAUUCACUAGCAAAUUAAAUUAGAUUUGUUACAGAUUUCUGAUGUUUUACUCAGAUACUUUUUACUUAGAUAUUUUUACUAGCAAACUAGAC
Molecule: long non-coding RNA, 2229 nt
Filed under: Danio rerio (zebrafish)
Lineage: Eukaryota; Metazoa; Chordata; Actinopteri; Cypriniformes; Danionidae
Description: lncRNA (ENSDARG00000117229.1)
Source: RNAcentral